AAAUCCAGCCAAUUAGGAUGCAGUUUUAAUAUCUGAAGGAGAUAAACAGGGAAACAACAUCCAGCAGCCAAUCAUCAGUAGUCAGGUCACUCAGAAUUAACCAAUCAGGUGACAGGUUGAGGUGUAGGACGUUCGCGGGUUUUCUUCCCCCUCAGUCGCCUCCGGCACUUCAUCCAGAUUUGAUGUUCAACUUCCAGAGAGAAAUUAAUGUUGAGAAAAAUCUUAUAAAGGUCAUGAACUAGCAAGAUGUCAGACAUGGUCCAGCAUGAUGUCAGACAUGGUCCAGCAUGAUGUCAGACAUGGACCAGUAUGAAGCCAGUCAUGGACCAGUAUGUCUGUCAUGGACCAGUAUGAUGUCAGUCAUGAACCAGUAUGAUGUCAGUCAUGGACCAGUAUGAUGUCAGUCAUGGACCAGUAUGAUGUCAGUCAUGGACCAGUAUGAUGUCAGUCAUGGACCAGUAUGAUGUCAGUCAUGGACCAG
This is a long non-coding RNA of Cherax quadricarinatus, 481 nucleotides long. RefSeq lists it as uncharacterized. Lineage: Eukaryota; Metazoa; Arthropoda; Malacostraca; Decapoda; Parastacidae. The record is from RefSeq and is a predicted model, not a curated record.